GAUUGCUAUAAGCCAUAUAGCAGAAUUGCUACAAAUCUCUUAUUAUAAAAUGAAGCCUCCUAUAGAGGAAAUCUGCAAAAUCAUAUAUAUCCUUUUAUAAAAAGUGAGUCAGAAAUGGAAUUAUUUGUCUUGUUUUAUUCUCUUUGUUCUUAUUCCCUCUUUGCUAUCUUCUGCUUAUUAUUAUUUACCGUUUUUGGUAUUUAAUACAAAGAAAAGGACUGUUAGUUUCAAGCUCCAAAGUUUUUUGCUAAUGCACUGACUGAAAGGGAACAGCCUGGGCAAUUGAGCUUGUCUGUCAAGUUGGUCAAGGUGGAGAGUAAUGUGGUCUGGGGUUCCCAGAGCCCAUUGGACCUUUGACCUUUUCUAUUGAGACUAUUGAUCUAGGUUAAUAGUCAGCACCAGUUGUGCUGUUGGAGGGGUUGUGUGCCUGUAUGUGAUUCCUCAUUGAGUACAAAUGAGGCUCUGACUAACUCAGAGGGUAAUUGGUCCUUUUUGUAGUUUUCCCAGAUCAGGGUGGGAAAUUAGAAUAGAUAGGCUUUGACAGGCAAGGUGAAGAUUCAUUUUUGGAAUGCCUGCCAUUGUAUCAGUGACAAAACAAUGGAUCUGCACACUGAGUGGAUUACAUCUUUCAUACCAUGAACUCUGUUCACCAGAGAGCUGCUCACAGAAUCAAGUGGGGUUAGGAAUUGCUGGAUAAUAUGAUAACUUCUGAGAUUAACAGCACAGAGAGAUGGGUUUAGUCUUUUCCCACUCCCCAACCCCACCCCCUAAACCCACGCUACCCCAGCUAUCCUAUCAUCCCAUGCGUCUCAUCCCACCUAAUUGGGCAUAAAAUGAGAUAAACAAAGUCUGUCAUUGUUGGAAGCAGUGAUGAUUGAAAGGCAGGGAAGCACAUGGUUGGCAUGGGAUGGAGUUGGAAGGCAGAGCAAGUUGGCUGUGUAGAAAGAAUAAAGAAAAGAAGAUAAUAAGGUAUAUAAGCCUCAUUUUGUCAAGUCAGGAACAAGAGACGGUGACAGUAAAAAGCACCAGUGGCUUCACCUGGAAUAAUUUUAACUCCAUCAAUGCUUCCUACAAUCAAAUAAUUAAAUCAGCCAACUCUCUGGAGAAAUAGUGAAAACAAACUGUUCUGUUCUUAUUCUUAAUUAAACAUUUUCAUCUUAUAAAUUGGAUACAAUUGAAG
RNAcentral lists this long non-coding RNA (1180 nucleotides) under Callithrix jacchus (white-tufted-ear marmoset). RNAcentral's name for it is "lncRNA (ENSCJAG00000070971.1)". The record is from RNAcentral. Lineage: Eukaryota; Metazoa; Chordata; Mammalia; Primates; Cebidae.